UGGCCUCUGAGGUUCCUUCCAACU
Molecule: microRNA, 24 nt
Filed under: Sarcophilus harrisii (Tasmanian devil)
Lineage: Eukaryota; Metazoa; Chordata; Mammalia; Dasyuromorphia; Dasyuridae
Also listed under: 2 other names
Description: Sha-Mir-12316-P1-v2_5p* (star (passenger))
Source: RNAcentral